CUCCUCACAUGUUGGAGCUUUAAAGAUACAGCUGUAUCAGGCCAGGCGUGGUGACUCAUGCCUGUAAUCCCAGCACUUUGGGAGACCGAGGAGGGCGAUCGAGACCAUCCUGACUAACAUGGUGAAACCCCAUCUCUUCUAAAAAUACAAAAAAUUAGCCAGACUUGGUGGUGUACGCCUGUAGUCCCAGCUACUCAGGGGGCUGAGGCAGGAGAAUCGCUUGAACCCAGGAGGUGGAGGUUGCAGUGAGCUGAGAUCGCGCCACUGCACUCCAGCUUGGGCGACAGAGCGAGACUCCAUCUAAAAAAUACAGCUGUAUCAAAUCUGCUUGUGCUUUGGCCAUCUGAGAGAUCUUAAGUGUGCAAUGCAAUGAGGAUGGAGCAACGUAUACACCAAUCAAGAGAAAGAACAUGUCCAUUACCCCAAAAAGUUCUCUUACACCCGCUUCCAGGCUAGAGUGCAGUGGUAGGAUCUCGGCUCACUGCAGCAUUGACCUCCUGGGCUCAAGCUAUCCUCCCACCUCAGCCUUCUGAGUAGCUGGGACCGCAGAGGUGCAUCACCAUACUCGGCUAAGUUUUGCAACUGAUCCUGAGCACACGUCUCCAUGGCGGCAGGAGUCAUUGCUUUUUAGAUCACGUUCUCCGAGCAAGAGCCGAGAAAUCGAUAUCUCUCACAAGGCUGUAGACGUGCUGGAACUGAUUAGUCAUUAACCUAUUGUCACUCCUCCCAGCGCUCAUGGAAGGAGUUGCAGCAUGUCAAUGGAUUUUAAAAGAGUACCAGGAUUAAACUUCUCCAUGGCAGUGGGCAUUUGUGAAAGGUCUGUUCUGAAAUACCAGUACCAUCUUCUCACAUGUUAAGGGCCAAAAAUCUCAGUAAGUCACUCCAAAUCAGGUUUUACAGAUGAUUUUUUGAAAUAUUGAUUCUGGUAUUGUCCCUGAAAAUUUAAUUUAUCAAAUAAGCCAAUUAAGAAGCGUCUUUUAAAGGCACGUAGGGACCAUUCAGCACUGGAUGGACAAGAAAAUGAACAUAUUAAUCUUACAGUCAGCAACGUUUUGUUGAUGCUUUGGAAACUGAACUGCAAAGGAGUACUUAAAUGAACUGAAAGAGUUAAUUUGACUUCUAAGAGCCAUAAACUGGCUUGGGUUGGGUGGAUUCUGUAUUCCCAGACUCUGGUUCAAUAAAAAUGUAAAUG
RNAcentral lists this long non-coding RNA (1192 nucleotides) under Homo sapiens (human). RNAcentral describes it as "long independently transcribed non-coding RNA 2142 (LINC02142)". Lineage: Eukaryota; Metazoa; Chordata; Mammalia; Primates; Hominidae. The record is from RNAcentral.